GUGGGGAAUUUUGGACAAUGGGCGAAAGCCUGAUCCAGCCAUGCCGCGUGCAGGAUGAAGGCCUUCGGGUUGUAAACUGCUUUUGUACGGAACGAAAAGACUCCUUCUAAUAAAGGGGGUCCAUGACGGUACCGUAAGAAUAAGCACCGGCUAACUACGUGCCAGCAGCCGCGGUAAUACGUAGGGUACAAGCGUUAAUCGGAAUUACUGGGCGUAAAGCGUGCGCAGGCGGUUAUAUAAGACAGAUGUGAAAUCCCCGGGCUCAACCUGGGAAAUGCAUUUGUGACUGUAUAGCUAGAGUACGGUAGAGGGGGAUGGAAUUCCGCGUGUAGCAGUGAAAUGCGUAGAUAUGCGGAGGAACACCGAUGGCGAAGGCAAUCCCCUGGACCUGUACUGACGCUCAUGCACGAAAGCGUGGGGAGCAAACAGGAUUAGAAACCCCUGUAGUCC
This 450-nucleotide ribosomal RNA is filed under the name uncultured bacterium. RNAcentral describes it as "partial 16S ribosomal RNA". It matches the Rfam family "Bacterial small subunit ribosomal RNA", at positions 354 to 796 of the family's 1533-position model. The record is from RNAcentral.